Molecule: ribosomal RNA, 110 nt
Filed under: Dichaea aff. morrisii Pupulin 1189
Lineage: Eukaryota; Viridiplantae; Streptophyta; Magnoliopsida; Asparagales; Orchidaceae
Description: partial 18S ribosomal RNA
Rfam family: Eukaryotic small subunit ribosomal RNA
Source: RNAcentral
CGGGCGGUUCGCUGCCCGCGACUCGGCGAGAAGUCCAUUGAACCUUAUCAUUUAGAGGAAGGAGAAGUCGUAACAAGGUUUCCGUAGGUGAACCUGCGGAAGGAUCAUUG